This is a long non-coding RNA of Dermochelys coriacea (leatherback sea turtle), 393 nucleotides long. RefSeq lists it as uncharacterized. The record is from RefSeq and is a predicted model, not a curated record. Lineage: Eukaryota; Metazoa; Chordata; Testudines; Dermochelyidae. The transcript is spliced from 4 exons.
GACAGGAAAUUCCUAUCCAGGAUUAGCAGCCUGUUAGGUGGCAAGAAAGCCUGUGGGGACUUUGACUGGCCAGAUUGGCUGCAGAAAGGAAGGCUUCAGCCAGGAAGACAAUGAUUGAAACUAUGCUAUCUGUCUGAGAGGUCUCCUUUCAUCUGGAAAGGGUGAGACUGCCUGGAGUGCUGGAGCUGUAAGCAGAAGUAGAUUGUUGCAAGACCAAAGAGCUGUUUUGUGGGGAAAACAGAGGCAGAGUUGCUGCAACUCUAUAACUGGCCAUGAAGAGAUGCCCUGGCUGGACCAAAAUGCCACUCGGCUAGACUGGCCUGCUGAUGUUACAUAAUAUCAAUGCUGCCACAGGCAACAGGAAAAGCCCUGGGAACUUUUGAAUUUCAUUUC